GUGCUUUUCUCAAGAACUGACAGACAGUUCGUAGCACAUAUACCAAAAUGGAAACCAUGCAGUAAGGAUUAGUUUGGACUAUGAGCAAGGAUGAUGUGCAGAUUCAUGAAUUGUUCCAGAUUUUU
This 125-nucleotide small nuclear RNA is filed under the name Carlito syrichta (Philippine tarsier). Lineage: Eukaryota; Metazoa; Chordata; Mammalia; Primates; Tarsiidae. The record is from RNAcentral.